RNAcentral lists this transfer RNA (74 nucleotides) under Chitinophagaceae bacterium. RNAcentral describes it as "tRNA-Ile". It matches the Rfam family "tRNA". Rfam says of the family: Transfer RNA (tRNA) molecules are approximately 80 nucleotides in length. Their secondary structure includes four short double-helical elements and three loops (D, anti-codon, and T loops). RNAcentral also lists the same sequence under 6 other names. Lineage: Bacteria; Pseudomonadati; Bacteroidota; Chitinophagia; Chitinophagales; Chitinophagaceae. The record is from RNAcentral.
GGGCCUAUAGCUCAGUUGGUUAGAGCACCUGACUCAUAAUCAGGUGGUCCCAGGUUCAAAUCCUGGUGGGCCCA